Molecule: ribosomal RNA, 451 nt
Filed under: uncultured organism
Description: partial 16S ribosomal RNA
Rfam family: Bacterial small subunit ribosomal RNA
Source: RNAcentral
UACACUCCUACGGGAGGCAGCAGUGGGGAAUAUUGGACAAUGGGCGCAAGCCUGAUCCAGCCAUGCCGCGUGAGUGAUGAAGGCCCUAGGGUUGUAAAGCUCUUUCACCGGAGAAGAUAAUGACGGUAUCCGGAGAAGAAGCCCCGGCUAACUUCGUGCCAGCAGCCGCGGUAAUACGAAGGGGGCUAGCGUUGUUCGGAAUUACUGGGCGUAAAGCGCACGUAGGCGGAUCGAUCAGUCAGGGGUGAAAUCCCAGGGCUCAACCCUGGAACUGCCUUUGAUACUGUCGAUCUGGAGUAUGGAAGAGGUGAGUGGAAUUCCGGGUGUAGAGGUGAAAUUCGUAGAUAUUCGGAGGAACACCAGUGGCGAAGGCGGCUCACUGGUCCAUUACUGACGCUGAGGUGCGAAAGCGUGGGGAGCAAACAGGAUUAGAUACCCCGGUAGUCCCAUG